AGAACGAACGCUGGCGGCAUGCCUAACACAUGCAAGUCGAACGAGACCUUCGGGUCUAGUGGCGCACGGGUGCGUAACGCGUGGGAAUCUGCCCUUGGGUUCGGGAUAACAGUUGGAUACGACUGCUAAUACCGGAUGAUAUCUUCGGAUCAAAGAUUUAUCGCCCAGGGAUGAGCCCGCGUAGGAUUAGCUUGUUGGUGAGGUAAGAGCUCACCAAGGCGACGAUCCUUAGCUGGUCUGAGAGGAUGAUCAGCCACACGUGGGACUGAGACACGGCCCAGACU
RNAcentral lists this ribosomal RNA (284 nucleotides) under uncultured soil bacterium. RNAcentral describes it as "partial 16S ribosomal RNA". It matches the Rfam family "Bacterial small subunit ribosomal RNA", at positions 26 to 337 of the family's 1533-position model. The record is from RNAcentral.